RNAcentral lists this long non-coding RNA (623 nucleotides) under Anas platyrhynchos platyrhynchos (common mallard). RNAcentral describes it as "lncRNA (ENSAPLG00000018285.1)". Lineage: Eukaryota; Metazoa; Chordata; Aves; Anseriformes; Anatidae. The record is from RNAcentral.
GUAAUUUAUCAUUAAAAGGAAGAUAAAAAUUUUUCAAAUUUACAAUUUUUCAGUUCAACCAAAUGGUAACUUUCACCACACAUUUUCAUUCAUGUCUACCUUUGUUCUCUGCAGAGUUGUGACCCCAGCCAGAACCUGACAGAGCUAUGUACAGAAAGCAAUAAAGAGACAACAUGGAUGACCCAGGCAGUGGAGUUUUUGACCUUAAUGGCAGUUGGUGAAAUCUGGAAGUGGUGAAAAAGCAAUUCCUUCCCUGAGGACUCAUGAGCUAUGCUGUGCAAAAUGAGGUAUCCCUUCCUUCCUAGCUCUGAGUUUGCUGUUUGACACUACUGCCUCUUAUAAUGUCUGCACACAAGUUUUUAUCUAUCUUCUGAGUGUCUUUAAGCUUCUCCUUUUAGAUUCAGGAAAUUAAUUUCCAAAAAUACCUUAUAAAGUCUAAAUAAUUUUUAAAUUAUUGAUGUUUGAAUGUUUUAGGUGGAAUAAGAUAUGUGUUUUUCACAGAAUAAUUAAGUAUGUAUUUUGACCAACAGUAAACAAUCUCUUUUAGCUUUAUAUAAACAUGAUAAAACUCAAAGCCCUCAAAAUCUGACUCGGAAUAAAAUACAAAAUUAUAUUUAAGGUCA